AGGCUGAGCUGUGAUGGGGAGAAGACAUUGUGUCUUCGAGUCGUUGAUUUCACACUGCCGAGAAAAGCCUCUAGAUAGAAAAUAGGUGCCCGUACCGCAAACCGACACAGGUAGUCAAGAUGAGAAUUCUAAGGUGAGCGAGCGAACUCUCGUUAAGGAACUCGGCAAAAUGACCCCGUAACUUCGGGAGAAGGGGUGCUCUUUAGGGUUAACGCCCAGAAGAGCCGCAGUGAAUAGGCCCAAGCGACUGUUUAUCAAAAACACAGGUCUCUGCUAAACCGUAAGGUGAUGUAUAGGGGCUGACGCCUGCCCGGUGCUGGAAGGUUAAGAGGAGUGGUUAGCUUCUGCGAAGCUACGAAUCGAAGCCCCAGUAAACGGCGGCCGUAACUAUAACGGUCCUAAGGUAGCGAAAUUCCUUGUCGGGUAAGUUCCGACCCGCACGAAAGGCGUAACGAUUUGGGCACUGUCUCAACGAGAGACUCGGUGAAAUCAUAGUACCUGUGAAGAUGCAGGUUACCCGCGACAGGACGGAAAG
RNAcentral lists this ribosomal RNA (535 nucleotides) under Staphylococcus aureus. RNAcentral describes it as "partial 23S ribosomal RNA". It matches the Rfam family "Bacterial large subunit ribosomal RNA", at positions 1553 to 2087 of the family's 2925-position model. The record is from RNAcentral. Lineage: Bacteria; Bacillati; Bacillota; Bacilli; Caryophanales; Staphylococcaceae.